Meleagris gallopavo (turkey) is the source of this 258-nucleotide non-coding RNA. Lineage: Eukaryota; Metazoa; Chordata; Aves; Galliformes; Phasianidae. The record is from RefSeq and is a predicted model, not a curated record.
AUGUAUUUUGCUUUUACUUUCAGGCCACACUGAAUACUAUAUGGACGAUGUGUGUAUGUUGCAGUUACUAAAAGGCCUUUGCCUUAAACACUUGGGAAGACUCAUGCAAGCUGAACUAUGUUUCAAUCAAGUAAUUCAAGGUGAGAAGCAAAUAAAAUAUGAUAGCUAUUUGGUGCCAUUCACCAUGUAUGAGCUGGGACUUCUAUACAAACAACAGGGUGAGAGAGAAAAAGCUAUAAGAUACAUAGAAACUGCAAA